UAAAAAAGUAAGUUAUUUUCUAAAUUAGUAUUAGUUAUGGUCUUAAAAUUUAAAAAAUUUGGCGGUAUUUUAGUCUAUUCAGAGGAACCUGUUUUAUAAUUGAUAUUCCACGAUAAAUUUCACUUAUUUUAAAUUUGUAUAUCGUCGUUAUUUGAAUAUUUUAAAAAAAUUUAAAUAUUCAAGAUUUUUAAUUAAAAAAAAUAUCAGAUCAAGGUGCAGUGUAUAAAUAAGAAAAAAUGGGUUACAAUAAAAUUAUUUAAGGAAAAUUAAUUUAAAAUUAAUUUGAAAGCGGAUUUGAAAGUAAUUUUAGUUUAGUUAGGAUGAUUUGAGCUCUAAAAUAUGU
This 343-nucleotide ribosomal RNA is filed under the name Telephanus sp. (Malagasy) BYU CO846. RNAcentral describes it as "partial 12S ribosomal RNA". Lineage: Eukaryota; Metazoa; Arthropoda; Insecta; Coleoptera; Silvanidae. The record is from RNAcentral.